GUAAGCUACUAAGAGCGAAUGGUGGAUGCCUUGACUGGUAGAGGCGAUGAAGGACGUACUAGACUGCGAUAAGCUAGGUGGAGCUGUCAAGAAGCUUUGAUGCCUAGAUUUCCGAAUGGGGCAACCCAGUAUAUAGAGAUAUAUACUACCAUAAUGGAGCGAACGAGGGGAAUUGAAACAUCUUAGUACCCUCAGGAAAAGAAAUCAAACGAGAUUGCGUCAGUAGCGGCGAGCGAAAGCGUAAGAGGGCAAACCCAGUGCUUGCACUGGGGGUUGUAGGACUGCAAUGUGCAAGAGGAAAGGUUAGCAGAACACUCUGGAAAGUGUAGCCAUAGAGGGUGAUAGUCCCGUAUGCAAAAACCUAACCUUAGCUAGCAGUAUCCUGAGUAGGGCGGGACACGAGAAAUCCUGUCUGAAGCUGGGUAGACCACUAUCCAACCCUAAAUACUCCUACCAGAUCGAUAGCGAACAAGUACCGUGAGGGAAAGGUGAAAAGAACGGCGGUGAGCCGAGUGAAAUAGAACCUGAAACCAUUUGCUUACAAUCAUUCAGAGCACUAUGUAGCAAUACAGUGUGAUGGACUGCCUUUUGCAUAAUGAGCCUGCGAGUUGUGGUGUCUGGCAAGGUUAAGCUAACGCGAAGCCGUAGCGAAAGCGAGUCUGAAUAGGGCGCUAAGUCAGAUGCUGCAGACCCGAAACGAAGUGAUCUAUCCAUGAGCAGGUUGAAGCUAGUGUAAGAACUAGUGGAGGACCGAACCCGCUAGCGUUGAAAAGCUAUGGGAUGACUUGUGGAUAGGGGUGAAAGGCCAAUCAAACUUCGUGAUAGCUGGUUCUCUCCGAAAUAUAUUUAGGUAUAGCGUUGUGUCGUAACUAAAGGGGGUAGAGCACUGAAUGGGCUAGGGCAUACACCAAUGUACCAAACCCUAUCAAACUCCGAAUACCUUUAGUGUAAUCACAGCAGUCAGGCGGCGAGUGAUAAAAUCCGUCGUCAAGAGGGAAACAACCCAGACUAACAGCUAAGGUCCCCAAAUCUUACUUAAGUGGAAAACGAUGUGAAGUUACUUAAACAACCAGGAGGUUGGCUUAGAAGCAGCCAUCCUUUAAAGAAAGCGUAAUAGCUCACUGGUCUAGUGAUUUUGCGCGGAAAAUAUAACGGGGCUAAAGUAAGUACCGAAGCUUUAGANNNNNNNNNNNNNNNNNNNNNNNNNNNNNNNNNNNNNNNNNNNNNNNNNNNNNNNNNNNNNNNNNNNNGCGGUAGGAGAGCGUUCUAUUUGCGUCGAAGGUAUACCGACAAGGAGUGCUGGAGCGAAUAGAAGUGAGCAUGCAGGCAUGAGUAGCGAUAAUUAAUGUGAGAAUCAUUAACGCCGUAAACCCAAGGUUUCCUACGCGAUGCUCGUCAUCGUAGGGUUAGUCGGGUCCUAAGCUGAGUCCGAAAAGGGGUAAGCGAUGGCAAAUAGGUUAAUAUUCCUAUACCAACAUUAGUGUGCGAUGGAAGGACGCUUAGGGCUAAGGGGGCUAGCGGAUGGAAGUGCUAGUCUAAGGUCGUAGGAGGUUAUACAGGCAAAUCCGUAUAACAAUACUCCGAGAACUGAAAGGCUUUUUGAAGUCUUCGGAUGGAAAGAAGAACCCCUGAUGCCGUCGAGCCAAGAAAAGUUUCUAAGUUUAGCUAAUGUUGCCCGUACCGUAAACCGACACAGGUGGGUGGGAUGAGUAUUCUAAGGCGCGUGGAAGAACUCUCUUUAAGGAACUCUGCAAAAUAGCACCGUAUCUUCGGUAUAAGGUGUGCCUCCCUUUGUAUUAGAAUUCACUUCGAAAGCAAAGAAGGUUACAACAAAGAGUCCCUCCCGACUGUUUACCAAAAACACAGCACUCUGCUAACUCGUAAGAGGAUGUAUAGGGUGUGACGCCUGCCCGGUGCUCGAAGGUUAAUUGAUGGGGUUAGCAUUAGCGAAGCUCUUGAUCGAAGCCCGAGUAAACGGCGGCCGUAACUAUAACGGUCCUAAGGUAGCGAAAUUCCUUGUCGGUUAAAUACCGACCUGCAUGAAUGGCGUAACGAGAUGGGAGCUGUCUCAAAGAGGGAUCCAGUGAAAUUGUAGUGGAGGUGAAAAUUCCUCCUACCCGCGGCAAGACGGAAAGACCCCGUGGACCUUUACUACAGCUUGACACUGCUAUUUGGAUAAGAAUGUGCAGGAUAGGUGGGAGGCUUUGAGUAUAUGACGCCAGUUGUAUAUGAGCCAUUGUUGAGAUACCACUCUUUCUUAUUUGGGUAGCUAACCAGCUUGAGUUAUCCUCAAGUGGGACAAUGUCUGGUGGGUAGUUUGACUGGGGCGGUCGCCUCCCAAAUAAUAACGGAGGCUUACAAAGGUUGGCUCAUAGCGGUUGGAAAUCGCUAGUAGAGUAUAAAGGUAUAAGCCAGCUUAACUGCAAGACAUACAAGUCAAGCAGAGACGAAAGUCGGUCUUAGUGAUCCGGUGGUUCUGUGUGGAAGGGCCAUCGCUCAAAGGAUAAAAGGUACCCCGGGGAUAACAGGCUGAUCUCCCCCAAGAGCUCACAUCGACGGGGAGGUUUGGCACCUCGAUGUCGGCUCAUCGCAUCCUGGGGCUGGAGCAGGUCCCAAGGGUAUGGCUGUUCGCCAUUUAAAGCGGUACGCGAGCUGGGUUCAGAACGUCGUGAGACAGUUCGGUCCCUAUCUGCCGUGGGCGUAAGAAGAUUGAAGAGAUUUGACCCUAGUACGAGAGGACCGGGUUGAACAAACCACUGGUGUAGCUGUUGUUCUGCCAAGAGCAUCGCAGCGUAGCUAAGUUUGGAAAGGAUAAACGCUGAAAGCAUCUAAGCGUGAAGCCAACUCUAAGAUGAAUCUUCUCUAAGCUCUCUAGAAGACUACUAGUUUGAUAGGCUGGGUGUGUAAUGGAUGAAAGUCCUUUAGCUGACCAGUACUAAUAGAGCGUUUGGCUUAUCUUAUAAA
This 2964-nucleotide ribosomal RNA is filed under the name Campylobacter upsaliensis. Its description in RNAcentral is "23S ribosomal RNA". It matches the Rfam family "Bacterial large subunit ribosomal RNA". The record is from RNAcentral. Lineage: Bacteria; Pseudomonadati; Campylobacterota; Epsilonproteobacteria; Campylobacterales; Campylobacteraceae.